GAAUAUUGGACAAUGGGCGAAAGCCUGAUCCAGCCAUGCCGCGUGGGUGAAGAAGGCAUUCAGGUUGUACAGCCCUUUUGUUGGGGAAGAAAUCCUGCUGGCUAAUACCCGGCGGGGAUGACGGUACCCAAAGAAUACGCCACGGCCAACUUCGUGCCAGCACCCGCGGUAAUACGAAGGGUGCAAGCGUUACUCGGAAUUACUGGGCGUAAAGCGUGCGUAGGGGGUGGCUUAAGUCCGUUGUGAAAGCCCUGGGCUCAACCUGGGAAUUGCAGUGGAUACUGGGUCACUAGAGUGUGGUAGAGGGUGGCGGAAUUCCCGGUGUAGCAGUGAAAUGCGUAGAGAUCGGGAGGAACACCCGUGGCGAAGGCGGCCACCUGGGCCAACACUGACACUGAGGCACGAAAGCGUGGGGAGCAAACAG
RNAcentral lists this ribosomal RNA (424 nucleotides) under uncultured bacterium. RNAcentral's name for it is "partial 16S ribosomal RNA". It matches the Rfam family "Bacterial small subunit ribosomal RNA", at positions 359 to 775 of the family's 1533-position model. The record is from RNAcentral.